This 523-nucleotide ribosomal RNA is filed under the name uncultured bacterium. RNAcentral describes it as "bacterial SSU rRNA". It matches the Rfam family "Bacterial small subunit ribosomal RNA", at positions 28 to 517 of the family's 1533-position model. The record is from RNAcentral.
GGAGAACGCUGGCGGCGUGCCUAAUACAUGCAAGCUCGAGCGGUAAGGCUCUGCACCUGUUAUUUGAUCGGGAUUUAUCCUAGGCUUUCUUUGGCUAAAGAGAGUAACAGAUCGAAUAAUGUGUGUAGAGUACACGAGCGGCGGACGGCUGAGUAACACGUAGGAACGUACCCCAAACUGAGGGAUAAGCACCAGAAAUGGUGUCUAAUACCGCAUGUGCUCUUCGGAGUAAAGCUACGGCGGUUUGGGAACGGCCUGCGCAUGAUUAGCUUGUUGGUGAGGUAAAAGCUCACCAAGGCGACGAUCAUUAGCUGGUCUGAGAGGAUGAUCAGCCAGACUGGGACUGAGAACGGCCCAGACUCCUACGGGAGGCAGCAGUAGGGAAUUUUCCACAAUGGGCGAAAGCCUGAUGGAGCAACGCCGCGUGCAGGAUGAAUGCCUUCGGGUUGUAAACUGCUUUUAUAUGUGACGAAUAUGACGGUAGCAUAUGAAUAAGGAUCGGCUAACUCCGUGCCAGCCGCCG